CCUACGGGAGGCAGCAGUCGGGAAUAUUGCUCAAUGGGGGAAACCCUGAAGCAGCAACGCCGCGUGGUGGAUGAAGGUUUUAGGAUUGUGAACUCCUUUUGUGAGUGGAGCUAAUGACGGUAUCACACGAAUACGCACCGGCUAACUCCGUGCCAGCAGCCGCGGUAAUACGGAGGGUGCAAGCGUUACUCGGAAUCACUGGGCGUAAAGAGUGCGCAGGCGGGCUUGUAAGUCAGAUGUGAAAUCCUGUAGCUUAACUAGAGAACUGCAUUUGAAACUAUGAGUAUAGAGUGUGGGAGAGGUAGGUGGAAUUCUUGGUGUAGGAGUAAAAUCCGGAGAUAUCGAGAGGAACACUCAUGGCGAAGGCGAGCGACGGGAACAUUACUGACGCUCAGGCACGAAGGCGUGGGGAGCAAACAGGAUUAGAUACCCCGGUAGUC
RNAcentral lists this ribosomal RNA (440 nucleotides) under uncultured bacterium. Its description in RNAcentral is "partial 16S ribosomal RNA". It matches the Rfam family "Bacterial small subunit ribosomal RNA", at positions 338 to 795 of the family's 1533-position model. The record is from RNAcentral.